GUUUCUUAGAUCUCCGAUUUACUUGGAUAACUGUGGUAAUUCUAGAGCUAAUACACGCAUUCGAGCUCCGCCCGCAAGGAACGAGCGCAUUUAUUAGACUAAAACUAAUCUGCACUUGUGCAGCAAGUUUGGUGACUCUGAAUAACUCAGCUGAUCGCUUCGGUCUCGUACCGGCGACAUGUCUUUCAAGUGUCUGCCUUAUCAACUUUCGAUGGUAGUUUAUGUGACUACCAUGGUUGUAACGGGUAACGGAGAAUCAGGGUUCGACUCCGGAGAGGGAGCCUGAGAAACGGCUACCACUUCUAAGGAAGGCAGCAGGCGCGCAAAUUACCCACUCUCAGUACGAGGAGGUAGUGACGAAAAAUAACGAGAUGGGACUCUAUCGAGUACCAUCAUCGGAAUGAGAACAAUCUAAACCCUUUAACGAGGACCUAGCGGAGGGCAAGUCUGGUGCCAGCAGCCGCGGUAAUUCCAGCUCCGUAAGUGUAUAUCUAUGCUGCUGCGGUUAAAAAGCUCGUAGUUGGAUCUGCGUGCAUGGUGAUGGUCCGGCCUUUGGUCGUGAACUGUCUACCUGCACUAAAUAGCUAGUUCACUCUUGGUGCCCUUCAUCGGGUGUCUUGAGCGUCUAGCAAAUUUACUUUGAAAAAAUUAGAGUGCUUAAAACAAGCGUUUUGCUUGAAUA
Molecule: ribosomal RNA, 682 nt
Filed under: Theristus acer
Lineage: Eukaryota; Metazoa; Nematoda; Chromadorea; Monhysterida; Xyalidae
Description: SSU rRNA
Rfam family: Eukaryotic small subunit ribosomal RNA
Source: RNAcentral